GUACCCCCUCUUCCAGCAGAGUCAGCUAUCCCCACUGUACCCCCUCUUCCAGCAGAGUCAGCUAUCCCCACUGUACCCCCUCUUCCAGCAGUCAGCUAUCCCCACUGUACCCCCUCUUCCAGCAGUCAGCUAUCCCCACUGUACCCCCUCUUCCAGCAGUCAGCUAUCCCCACUGUACCCCCUCUUCCAGCAGUCAGCUAUCCCCACUGUACCCCCUCUUCCAGCAGAGUCAGCUAUCCCCACUGUACCCCCUCUUCCAGCAGAGUCAGCUAUCCCCACUGUUCCAGCACUGUUCUAUCCCCCCUCUUCCAGCAGAGUCAGCUAUCCCCACUGUACCCCCUCUUCCAGCAGAGUCAGCUAUCCCCACUGUACCCCCUCUUCCAGCAGAGUCAGCUAUCCCCACUGUACCCCCUCUUCCAGCAGAGUCAGCUAUCCCCACUGUACCCCCUCUUCCAGCAGAGUCAGCUAUCCCCACUGUACCCCCUCUUCCAGCAGAGUCAGCUAUCCCCACUGUACCCCCUCUUCCAGCAGAGUCAGCUAUCCCCACUGUACCCCCUCUUCUAGCAGAGUCAGCUAUCCCCACUGUACCCCCUUUUCCAGCAGAGUCAGCUAUCCCCACUGUACCCCCUCUUCCAGCAGAGUCAGCUAUCCCCACUGUACCCCCUCUUCUAGCAGAGUCAGCUAUCCCCACUUACCCCCUCUUCUAGCAGAGUAAGCUAUCCCAACUGUACCCCCUGUUCUAGCAGAGUCAGCUAUCCCCACUGUACCCCCUUUUCCAGCAGAGUCAGCUAUCCCCACUGUACCCCCUCUUCUAGCAGAGUCAGCUAUCCCCACUGUACCCCCUCUUCCAGCAGAGUCAGCUAUCCCCACUGUACCCCCUCUUCUAGCAGAGUCAGCUAUCCCCACUGUACCCCCUCUUCCAGCAUGGUCAGCUAUCCCCACUGUACCCCCUCUUCCAGCAGAGUCAGCUAUCCCACACUGUACCCCCUCUUCCAGCAGAAUCAGCUAUCCACACUGUACCCCCUCUUCCAGCAGAGUCAGCUAUCCCCACUGUACCCCCUCUUCCAGCAGAGUCAGCUAUCCCCACUGUACCCCCUCUUCCAGCAGAGUCAGCUAUCCCCACUGUACCCCCUCUUCCAGCAGAGUCAGCUAUUCCCACUGUACCCCCUCUUCCAGCAGAGUCAGCUAUCCCCACUGUACCCCCUCUUCCAGCAGAGUCAGCUAUCCCCACUGUACCCCCUCUUCCAGCAGAGUCAGCUAUCCCCACUGUACCCCCUCUUCCAGCAGAGUCAGCUAUCCCCACUGUACCCCCUCUUCCAGCAGAGUCAGCUAUCCCCACUGUACCCCCUCUUCCAGCAUGGUCAGCUAUCCCCACUGUACCCCCUCUUCCAGCAGAGUCAGCUAUCCCCACUGUACCCCCUCUUCCAGCAUGGUCAGCUGACUGCAAUGUCUGUGUGUUUCUGCAAAGUGUGUUCUGUGUGUGUGUGUGUGUGUGUGUGUACACACUGUAACAGAGUUAGGGACAGAGAUCAAAGAAGACGACAGACAUGUCAGAAGCUGUGCUGUUGGAGAGAAGGACUAGGACCAUGUGGAGGAAGGGGCAGAGGUAUGAGAGAGCAAAGUAGAGCGAGAUGGAGCAUAGAGAUGAUGUGA
Molecule: long non-coding RNA, 1653 nt
Organism: Oncorhynchus mykiss (rainbow trout)
Lineage: Eukaryota; Metazoa; Chordata; Actinopteri; Salmoniformes; Salmonidae
Source: Ensembl